UACGGGGGGGGCAAGCGUUGUUCGGAAUUACUGGGCGUAAAGGGCUCGUAGGUGGCCAACUAAGUCAGACGUGAAAUCCCUCGGCUUAACUGGGGAACUGCGUCCGAUACUGGAUGGCUUGGAUUUGGGAGAGGGAUGCGGAAUUCCAGGUGUAGCGGUGAAAUGCGUAGAUAUCUGGAGGAACACCGGUGGCGAAGGCGGCAUCCUGGACCAAUAUUGACGCUGAGGAGCGAAAGCCAGGGGAGCAAACGGG
RNAcentral lists this ribosomal RNA (253 nucleotides) under uncultured bacterium. Its description in RNAcentral is "partial 16S ribosomal RNA". It matches the Rfam family "Bacterial small subunit ribosomal RNA", at positions 524 to 776 of the family's 1533-position model. The record is from RNAcentral.